This 493-nucleotide ribosomal RNA is filed under the name uncultured bacterium. RNAcentral describes it as "partial 16S ribosomal RNA". It matches the Rfam family "Bacterial small subunit ribosomal RNA", at positions 28 to 523 of the family's 1533-position model. The record is from RNAcentral.
GAUGAACGCUGGCGGCGUGCUUAACACAUGCAAGUCGAACGCUGAAGCUCCCAGCUUGCUGGGGGUGGAUGAGUGGCGAACGGGUGAGUAUCACGUGAGUAACCUGCCCUUGACUUCAGGAUAAGCCCGGGAAACUGGGUCUAAUACUGGAUACGACCGAUCCUCGCAUGGGGUGUUGGUGGAAAGAUUUUAUCGGUCUUGGAUGGACUCGCGGCCUAUCAGCUUGACGGUGGGGUAAUGGCUCACCGUGGCGAUGACGGGUAGCCGGCCUGAGAGGGUGACCGGUAACACUGGGACUGAGACACGGCCCAGACUCCUACGGGAGGCAGCAGUGGGGAAUAUUGCACAAUGGGCGCAAGCCUGAUGCAGCGACGCCGCGUGCGGGAUGACGGCCUUCGGGUUGUAAACCGCUUUCAGUACAGAAGAAGCCCCUUGUGGGUGACGGUAUGUGCAGAAGAAGCGCCGGCUAACUACGUGCCAGCAGCCGCAGUAA